RNAcentral lists this transfer RNA (74 nucleotides) under Candidatus Omnitrophota bacterium. RNAcentral's name for it is "tRNA-Gln". It matches the Rfam family "tRNA". Rfam says of the family: Transfer RNA (tRNA) molecules are approximately 80 nucleotides in length. Their secondary structure includes four short double-helical elements and three loops (D, anti-codon, and T loops). Further hydrogen bonds mediate the characteristic L-shaped molecular structure. tRNAs have two regions of fundamental functional importance: the anti-codon, which is responsible for specific mRNA codon recognition, and the 3' end, to which the tRNAs corresponding amino acid is attached (by aminoacyl-tRNA synthetases). tRNAs cope with the degeneracy of the genetic code in two manners: having more than one tRNA (with a specific anti-codon) for a particular amino acid; and 'wobble' base-pairing, i.e. permitting non-standard base-pairing at the 3rd anti-codon position. The record is from RNAcentral. Lineage: Bacteria; Pseudomonadati; Candidatus Omnitrophota.
UGCCCGGUGGUGUAACGGUAACACACGUGGCUCUGGACCACGGUUUCCUGGUUCGAAUCCAGGCUGGGCAGCCA